Micropterus salmoides (largemouth bass) is the source of this 939-nucleotide long non-coding RNA. RefSeq lists it as uncharacterized. The transcript has 5 exons. The record is from RefSeq and is a predicted model, not a curated record. Lineage: Eukaryota; Metazoa; Chordata; Actinopteri; Centrarchiformes; Centrarchidae.
UUUUGUUAGUUCGUCUUCAUCUCCCAUCAAGCAUCCCCUUCUCUUUCCUCAAUGAUUUGUGUUUUUUGCUUAUCUUUUCGAUUACUUGAACUUUAGAUUUUUGCCUGUGCCUGUUUUUUUUUUGAUUAUUUGCCUUAGGACUGCCUGCCUCACCGUUGGUGUAAGUGAGUUCCUCCUUUUUAAACAAAUUACCUUCAACUGAACUUGCUUUGCCUGGUGUCCUGCAUUUGGGUCCAAAUCCCCUGUUCCCUGUUGCGACGCUGGAACUGAAUUGUGACAACAAGAAGGAGCAGCUACAGUGAGCUGUUACACCAAGAGCUUUAGGCGACAGGCUGCUCACCUCCAACUUCUCAGUAAGAAAAGAUGGCCAGCUCUUUUCCGGGAAAACCAGGUUUCUGCAGAAUACCGUUGCAUCAACAACCAGCGGCUGAGAGUUGAAGUGUAUAAUGCAUUGUUUGCUAGCUGUAGCCAGAGAGAUGCAGGGAGAAUUGGGCGGAAGUGCCCAGAAGAUCUCUUCUCCAUUGAAGAAGCAAACUCAGCAAACACAAGACAAAAUUGUGGAGCAGACUGUAGUUCUUCGAUGUCUACCAGUGCUGCUGCAAGAAGAGGACACAGAGCUGUUCUACACCUGCAAGGCACCAUGGAGUGACACAGUCAGAAGUGAAGUACAUCUCCUCCCAGCCCCGAGAGACAAGAGAGCCUGAUGGGUGAUAAAAUACAUCAAAACCACUGAGUUGAAAAACUAUCAACUACACCCUUGCUUGAAGCUGACGUGUCUAAAAGCACAUGCAUGACUGAGGCAUAGUAAUAAUAUUUCAAUGAAAGAUGCGCGGCCUGAGUAAAGGGCACACUGAAUUUACCAACCAAUAAGCUGUAGAAGAGUUGCAUUACGGAUGAGGAAUGAAUAAAAUAAAAUAAGAAAAGAGAUUCUCACCCGAA